This 384-nucleotide ribosomal RNA is filed under the name Rumina decollata. Its description in RNAcentral is "partial 12S ribosomal RNA". The record is from RNAcentral. Lineage: Eukaryota; Metazoa; Mollusca; Gastropoda; Stylommatophora; Subulinidae.
UCUAAUAGAAACCUCUAUACAAGCCUAAGCAGUACAAUGAUUACAUCAUUAAAACUUAAAAAUUGUGGCGGCAGCUUAAACAUUCAGGGGAACUUACCAUAUAAUUGAUAACCAACAAGGGAUUCUCACCUGUUCUUAUAAUUAGUAUACCGCCGUCUUUAAAUUCUUUUAAGAAGAUUUUAAAAAAAAUAUAACUUUAAAAUGACAGGUCAUGGUGCUGUAAAUGUUCAGGAAUUUGAGGUGAGUUACUAUACCUAGGAUUUGUACAGAUUAUAACCUUUAAACUCUUAUAUGAAGGAGGACUUGACCGUAAAGUAUAUUUCUUAUUAAACCAAGCUUGACCAUUAUGGAACAAAUAAUACUUGAAAAGUAAUUAAGCUGUGC